UGGUGGACCCUGCUGACUUGCUCACUACUGGCAAGCAAAGUGUUCACUGAUGAAUGAACAAUUACAUUUACCCACAGACUGAAAUAUGAUGUUAUUUUGUUUUGACUGAAAUUCCAACUCACUGUGAGAAUACUGUGAAAAAAAUCAUGAGAAGUAUCCUCAUAGGUGAGUCUUUUCACACAUCUGCACUAGUGAAUAUCUGAAUUUUAAAAGCCACUCCAGACCUACAUAGGUGAUGAAUGAAGAAGAGUGCCCUUCCAUGAACACAUGUGCUGGAGACGUGUUGAAUUUCUUCCCCCUCAGCAUAAUCAGAGGAGGUGACCCCAAGCACCUUAGAGACCAUGGGAAGUUCCUAAUGCCGGCCUGAUGCAGAUUCUCUUCUCCACGGAGCACCAUGGCCGCUGGGCUCUGCCUUCCACACAGAACGAUGUGUACUUGAAAACAGUACACUCUUGCACAGCUGUCCCUGGAGCUUCCCCGUGGAGCUGUUAAACUUGCCCUCCGCUGGCUGUUUUCCACAAAGUAAUAUGGUUACAUAGAUUCACGGCUCAUGGCAAUGUUUCAUUAAGACAGUUCUUGAUGGCCGCUCCACACCUUUCUCACCACAUCUCACAGGCUGCCCUGCUGAGCCAGGUCUCCCUGGAACCCGGGGCUCCUGCGCAGGCCCCCAUUUUGCUCCAGAACACCCAGGAAGGCGGGGCUUGGGCUGGAAUGGGGACACCGAUUACCCUCUGUUCAGGCCUUUGGUGCCAGCUGAGGUCGAUACUGGUGCCAGGAUCGAGACUGUGCGCAUCCCAUCGAGAGCGGGCAGAUGUGGGGGCGCACUGGACCGGGCCUCCCAGGCUGACACCCAUUCACAGCAGCCUGAGCCUAAUCCGCCACUGCUCGCCUUCCUCCGACGUCUCCACCUAAACCAUCCUUCUGCACAUUGUGACCCAUCACUCCGCCCUUUGUCC
This 956-nucleotide long non-coding RNA is filed under the name Homo sapiens (human). RNAcentral's name for it is "non-protein coding lnc-LONRF1-1:3". The record is from RNAcentral. Lineage: Eukaryota; Metazoa; Chordata; Mammalia; Primates; Hominidae.